RNAcentral lists this signal recognition particle RNA (296 nucleotides) under Pan troglodytes (chimpanzee). RNAcentral describes it as "Metazoan signal recognition particle RNA (ENSPTRG00000039789.2)". It matches the Rfam family "Metazoan signal recognition particle RNA". From Rfam's summary of the family: The signal recognition particle (SRP) is a universally conserved ribonucleoprotein. It is involved in the co-translational targeting of proteins to membranes. The record is from RNAcentral. Lineage: Eukaryota; Metazoa; Chordata; Mammalia; Primates; Hominidae.
GCCGGGUGUGGUGGCACACACCUAUAAUCCCAGCUACUCGGGAGGCUGAGACAGGAGAAUUGCUUGAACCCGGGAGGCGGAGGUUGCAGUGAGCCGAGAUCGCACCACUGCCCUCCAGCCUGGGUGACAGAGAAGAGACUCCGUCUCAAAAAAAAGAAAAAAAAAAAAAUAGAUAAAAUUAAGUUGGGUUUUCUUUUUUGAGAUGGAGUCUCACUCUGUCGCCCAGGCUGGAAUGCAGUGGUGUGAUCUUGGCUCACUGCAACCUCCGCCUCCCAGGUUCAAGCAAUUCUGUGUCA